This 74-nucleotide transfer RNA is filed under the name Streptococcus sp. RNAcentral's name for it is "tRNA-Asn". It matches the Rfam family "tRNA". Rfam says of the family: Transfer RNA (tRNA) molecules are approximately 80 nucleotides in length. Their secondary structure includes four short double-helical elements and three loops (D, anti-codon, and T loops). The record is from RNAcentral. Lineage: Bacteria; Bacillati; Bacillota; Bacilli; Lactobacillales; Streptococcaceae.
UCCGCCAUAGCUCAGGUGGUAGUAGCGCAUGACUGUUAAUCAUGAUGUCGUAGGUUCGAGUCCUACUGGCGGAG